GACGAACGCUGGCGGCGUGCUUAACACAUGCAAGUCGAACGGUGAAGGGACCAGCUUGCUGGUUCUGGAUGAGUGGCGAACGGGUGAGUAACACGUGAGUAACCUGCCCCCUUCUUCUGGAUAACCGCAUGAAAGUGUGGCUAAUACGGGAUAUUCUGGGUCUGUCGCAUGGCGGUCCCGGGAAAGAUAUUGCUUCGGUGGGGGAUGGGCUCGCGGCCUUUCUGCUGGUUGGUGGGGUGAUGGCCUACCAAGGCGGUGACGGGUAGCCGGGCUGAGAGGGUGGCAGGUUACACUUGGACUGAGGUACAGCCCAGACUGCUACGGGAGGGAGCAGUGGAGAAUAUUGAACGAGGGGGGCAAGCCUGAUGCAGCGACGCCGCGUGAGAGAGGCAGGCCUUCGGGUUGUAAACCUCUUUCGCCAGUGAAGCAGGCCUGCUCCUUGUGGGUGGGUUGACGGUAGCUGGAUAAGAAGCGCCGGCUAACUACGUG
RNAcentral lists this ribosomal RNA (489 nucleotides) under uncultured bacterium. Its description in RNAcentral is "partial 16S ribosomal RNA". It matches the Rfam family "Bacterial small subunit ribosomal RNA", at positions 28 to 507 of the family's 1533-position model. The record is from RNAcentral.